AGAGUGAUGAGGAACGAGAUAGAAUGUUGCUUCAGCUGGAACAGGAUUGCUUGGAUGUUUACAAGAGGAAAGUUGAUCAAGCUACAAAAUCUAGAGCACUUCUUCUCCAGGAGUUAGCUGAUUCAAAAUACGAGCUUACUAGACUUCUUUCUGCACUUGGUGAAAAGACUUACAUUGGCAUUCCUGAGAAUCCUUCUGGAACGAUCAAGGAACAACUUGCAGCUAUA
RNAcentral lists this unclassified non-coding RNA (227 nucleotides) under Hevea brasiliensis (rubber tree). Lineage: Eukaryota; Viridiplantae; Streptophyta; Magnoliopsida; Malpighiales; Euphorbiaceae. The record is from RNAcentral.